This 2649-nucleotide long non-coding RNA is filed under the name Sus scrofa (pig). RNAcentral describes it as "lncRNA (ENSSSCG00045016578.1)". The record is from RNAcentral. Lineage: Eukaryota; Metazoa; Chordata; Mammalia; Artiodactyla; Suidae.
UUUUUUUUUUUUUUUUUUGGUCUUUUCAGGGCUGAACCCACAACAUAAGGAAGUUCCUAGGCUAGGGGCUGAAUUGGAGCUGCAGCUUCUGGCCUUCACCACAGCCAUAGCAACAUGGGAUCUUAGCCUCGUCUGCAACCUAUACCAAGCUCAUAGAAAUGCCGGAUUCUUAACCCACUGAGCAAGGCCGUGGAUCAAACCUGUGUCCUCAUGGAUAUUAGAUUCAUUUCUGCUGAGCCACAAUGGGAACUCCUGGCUUUUUUUGUUUUUACAGCCAAACUCUCAGCAUUCGGAAGUUUCCAGUCUAGGGGUUGAGUCGGAGAUGUAACUGCUGGCCUACACUACAGCCACAGCAAUGCAAGAUCCAAGCCUCGUCUGCCAACUACACCACAGCUCUUGGCAAUGCGGGAUCCUUAAUCCACUGAUCCAGGCCGGAGAUCAAAUCCACAUCCUCAUGGAUCCUAGUAAAAGAAUGCUCAAAUAAUUUUAGAUAUGGAAGAAGACCUUGGAAAUAAUCCAAUUCAAUACCCUCACUCUUCAGAUUAGGAAACUGAUGACCAGAAACAUUAAUUCAUAUGUUCCGCAGCUAGUUGGAACUAAUAUGUUAAUAUCUACAGCAGGAUGGGGAGUAAUAUGCUAUGAGUCAGUAUUCUUUUGGUUACAAAUAUCAGAAAAAUAAUAAUCCCAAACUAAUUUAAGCAAAAAAGGUGACUAGCAGAACAUUAGCAGCCAACAUUGCAAUUGCUACUAACAGGAUUCUCUCAUUACAUAACACCCAUUUUCAGUUAUUAGUGAUGAUAAUGAUGGGGAACAGAGAAAGCAAGUUACUGGGCGGAUAAUCCCAAAGAGGAGCAGAAGACAAAACCCACUGGGCUGCAGAGGAGGGAAGCAUGACAUUGGCAACAAGACUUAAGUCAGAGGUGGCAGAGCUGGGACCUAGCACCAUCACUGGAAGGAGCUAAGUCCAUGAGUCCAAUAGCGGGUCAGGGCAGAAGUGGUGCAAGGUAGGCUCAAACUGCUUUAGUGCACAGGGAUGAGGGCUCUCUUGAUCAAUUCAGGUUUCUAUGCUAGAAUACCACAGACUAGAUUGUCAACAACAGAAAUGUAUUUCUCAUCGUUCUGGAAGUUGGGGAAUCCAAGGCCAAGGUGCCAGCAGAUUCAUUGUCUGGUGAGAACCCACUUCCUGAUUCACAGAUGUCCUACUUUUGUUCUCACACGUGGAAAGGGGUAAAGUGCUCUCUGGGGUCUUUUUUUAAAUAAGAGCACUAAUCCUAUUCAUGACGGCCCUGUCCUUAUGUCCUAAUCAGCUCUCAAAGACCCACAUCCAAAUAUCAUCACAUUGGAAAUUAGGUUUCAACAUAGGAACCUUAACAGAGAUGCAAACAUUCAGUCCAUAGCAAGGGCCAAAGCAGAAGAUGAGAGUCUUACUGAGGUUGAGAAUCUGACACCUUAUGAAGCCUAGAGACCAAUGAGUUUGUGGUCCCAUGGAAGCUUGCAGCCAGUCCCCCACUGAUAUAUUUUUUUUAACAGAAAUCAUUUCCGUUCUCCUUAUCAGCUCCAUCCAUGAGGUUGCACUAAAUUUUAAAAGACCCAAGACCCUGGUAACACUGGUGGUAUCAUCCACUCAAGAAUUCCCAGUGCUCCUUCCAAACCAAUAUUGGGUCAGCAAGGAGGAUCCUUGAGAUCUCUUUGUGAUUCUAAUUAUUUUGUAGGCACACUCUAAUUAUUUUAAUGUAUGUGAUAAUUCUGAAGCAAUAUGCAUUCUGUCAGACCACUUCAUUCCCCUCUUCAUCAGCAUCUUUCCCCUCUGGAACCAGCAUCUUUCCAUCGGUUCUGGCAACUGUGUUCUUCCUGGAUUCAACAAGCAAACUUAGUAAAACUUUAUUUAGAGAAAUAAAGUCUUCACCCUGUCCAUAUGAGAAAGUGAAGACAGAAGAACACUACUCUGACUCUUGAACAUUUCAAGAAAAAAGAUGGUCUAAUAUUAAAAAAAAAGAGAAGUUGUAUCAGAUUGAAAGGAGGAAUGCUGGAACUAAUGAUCAGAAUUACGGAAAUAGAGGUAGAAAAUGUUCCAGGAAAUCACUUUCACUGAGAAAGAAGGAAGUAAGAGCAGUGAAAGAACAAACAAUUCUCUCACUGAAUAAAGUAUGAACAUUUGUAUGAGCCAAAAGAGCAAUAGGAAACCAGAACAUAUCAUUCCAAAAUCCAGAGGCAUUUGUUUCAUUAAUAUUGGUCAAUGCCCUGAAUCACUUUACUUCCUGUUAGUUUAAUCAUAAAAAUGAAACAGGAUACAAAAUGUUCUAAAGAUUAUUUUAUUCAAAUUGAGCAUUUAUCUAGGCACUAAGCAUUUUAAUUAGUGGCUUUCAAACAUUUUUGACCAUGACUCACAGUAAGGAAUAUAUUUAACAUCAAAACCUGGUGUACACUGUGGCUUGGCGGUAACGAACCUGACUAGUAUACGUAAGGACAUGGGUUCAAUACCUGGCCUUGCUCAGUGGGUCAAGGAUCCUGUGUUGCCAUGAGCUGUACUGUAGUUCACAGACAUGACUCGAUACCACAUUGCCGUGACUGUGGUAUAGGCUGGCAGCUACAACUCUGAUUCGCCCCCUAGCCUGAGAACUUCCAUAUGCUGCAGAUGUGGCCCUAAAA